AGGACGAACGCUGGCGGCGUGCUUAACACAUGCAAGUCGAGCGCUGUCCAUUCGGUGGCAACACUGAUGAAGGCGGAGUGGCGAACGGGUGAGUAGCACGUGAGCAACCUGCCCCGAAGACCGGGACAACACCGGGAAACCGGUGCUAAUACCGGAUAUCCCCACCAGAUCGCAUGGUCAGGUGAGGAAAUGGAUUCCGCUUCGGGAGGGGCUCGCGGCCUAUCAGCUAGUUGGUGAGGUAACGGCUCACCAAGGCUUCGACGGGUAGCUGGUCUGAGAGGACGAUCAGCCACACUGGGACUGAGACACGGCCCAGACUCCUACGGGAGGCAGCAGUGGGGAAUCUUGCACAAUGGGCGAAAGCCUGAUGCAGCAACGCCGCGUGAGGGACGAAGGCUUUCUGAGUUGUAAACCUCUUUCAGCAGGGACGAUUGUGACGGUACCUGCAGAAGAAGCCCCGGCCAACUACGUGCCAGCAGCCGCGGUAAUACGUAGGGGGCAAGCGUUGUCCGGAUUUAUUGGGCGUAAAGAGCUCGUAGGCGGCUUGGCAAGUCGGAUGUGAAACCUCCAGGCUCAACCUGGAGUCGCCAUUCGAUACUGCCAUGGCUAGAGUUUGGUAGGGGACCACGGAAUUCCUGGUGUAGCGGUGAAAUGCGCAGAUAUCAGGAGGAACACCAGCGGCGAAGGCGGUGGUCUGGGCCAAUACUGACGCUGAGGAGCGGAAGCGUGGGGAGCGAACAGGAUUAGAUACCCUGGUAGUCCACGCCGUAAACGUUGGGCACUAGGUGUGGGGACCUAUCGACGGUUUCUGUGCCGCAGCUAACGCAUUAAGUGCCCCGCCUGGGGAGUACGGCCGCAAGGCUAAA
This 866-nucleotide ribosomal RNA is filed under the name uncultured bacterium. RNAcentral's name for it is "bacterial SSU rRNA". It matches the Rfam family "Bacterial small subunit ribosomal RNA", at positions 26 to 898 of the family's 1533-position model. The record is from RNAcentral.